RNAcentral lists this ribosomal RNA (508 nucleotides) under uncultured bacterium. RNAcentral's name for it is "partial 16S ribosomal RNA". It matches the Rfam family "Bacterial small subunit ribosomal RNA", at positions 28 to 523 of the family's 1533-position model. The record is from RNAcentral.
GAUGAACGCUAGCUACAGGCUUAACACAUGCAAGUCGAGGGGAAACGACAUCGAAAGCUUGCUUUUGAUGGGCGUCGACCGGCGCACGGGUGAGUAACGCGUAUCCAACCUGCCCACCACUUGGGGAUAACCUUGCGAAAGUAAGACUAAUACCCAAUGAUAUCUCUAGAAGACAUCUGAAAGAGAUUAAAGAUUUAUCGGUGAUGGAUGGGGAUGCGUCUGAUUAGCUUGUUGGCGGGGUAACGGCCCACCAAGGCUACGAUCAGUAGGGGUUCUGAGAGGAAGGUCCCCCACAUUGGAACUGAGACACGGUCCAAACUCCUACGGGAGGCAGCAGUGAGGAAUAUUGGUCAAUGGGCGAGAGCCUGAACCAGCCAAGUAGCGUGCAGGAUGACGGCCCUAUGGGUUGUAAACUGCUUUUAUAAGGGAAUAAAGUGAGCCUCGUGAGGCUUUUUGCAUGUACCUUAUGAAUAAGGACCGGCUAAUUCCGUGCCAGCAGCCGCCGUAA